RNAcentral lists this ribosomal RNA (253 nucleotides) under uncultured bacterium. Its description in RNAcentral is "partial 16S ribosomal RNA". It matches the Rfam family "Bacterial small subunit ribosomal RNA", at positions 524 to 776 of the family's 1533-position model. The record is from RNAcentral.
UACAUAGGUGGCAAGCGUUGUCCGGAUUUAUUGGGCUUAAAGGGUGCGUAGGCGGCCCUGUAAGUCAGUGCUGAAAUAUCCCAGCUUAACUGGGAGGGUGGCAUUGAUACUGCGGGGCUAGAGUACAGAUGAGGUAGGCGGAAUUGAAGGUGUAGCGGUGAAAUGCUUAGAUAUCGUCAAGAACACCUAUAGCGAAGGCAGCUUACUAGGCUGUAACUGACGCUGAGGCACGAAAGUGUGGGGAUCAAACAGG